RNAcentral lists this ribosomal RNA (451 nucleotides) under uncultured rumen protozoa. Its description in RNAcentral is "bacterial SSU rRNA". It matches the Rfam family "Eukaryotic small subunit ribosomal RNA", at positions 372 to 931 of the family's 1831-position model. The record is from RNAcentral.
AUUGGGUCAUUCUGGCCCGGAGCCUGAGAAGGGCUACUACAUCUACGGAAGGAGAGGCGCGUAGUUACACAAUCCUGACUCAGGGAGGUGGUGACAAGAUAUAAUGACUCUAUGAAAAUAGUGAUUAUAGUGAGGGUAUUCCAACCGAACCACAAGUACGAUUAGAGGGCAAGUCUGGUGCCAGCAGCCGCGGUAAUUCCAGCUCUAAUAGCGUAUAUUUAAAGUUGCUGCAGUUAAAAAGCUCGUACUUGGAUUUCAAGGACCGUAAACCCCCACGGGAAUACAUCCUACUAGUCUUCGGGACUGUUACUGUGAGAAAUUAGAGUGUUUCAGCAUGCUUUCGCAGAUACAUUAGCAUGAAUACGAAGAGAGGAUUGGUUAAUUCUAUGUAUAUAUUACGAAGAGAAGAGACAGUGGGGGAUUAGUAUCUAAUUGUUUAUUUUAUCUUUUC